CCGAAAUACGAGUCCCCGGCAACGGUAGCCACGACAGGCGGUGGUUGAGAGACCCUCGGAAAAUGUCGUG
RNAcentral lists this ribosomal RNA (70 nucleotides) under Mesua ferrea. RNAcentral's name for it is "partial 28S ribosomal RNA". Lineage: Eukaryota; Viridiplantae; Streptophyta; Magnoliopsida; Malpighiales; Calophyllaceae. The record is from RNAcentral.